This 298-nucleotide ribosomal RNA is filed under the name uncultured Sphingobacteriales bacterium. RNAcentral describes it as "partial 16S ribosomal RNA". It matches the Rfam family "Bacterial small subunit ribosomal RNA", at positions 1086 to 1382 of the family's 1533-position model. The record is from RNAcentral. Lineage: Bacteria; Pseudomonadati; Bacteroidota; Sphingobacteriia; Sphingobacteriales.
CCCAUAACGAGCGCAACCCUACCCUUUAGUUGCCAUCAGGUAAUGCUGGGGACUCUAAAGGAACUGCCUACGCAAGUAGUGAGGAAGGCGGGGAGUGACGUCAAAUCAGCACGGCCCUUACGUCCAGGGCUACACACGUGCUACAAUGGCCGAUACAGAGGGCAGCUACCUGGUGACAGGAUGCAAAUCUCCAAAGUCGGUCUCAGUUCGGAUCGGAGUCUGCAACCCGACUCCGUGAAGUUGGAUUCGCUAGUAAUCGCGCAUCAGCCAUGGCGCGGUGAAUACGUUCCCGGGCCUU